GGCUGUGAAGCAUGAGAGAAGCAGGUGAGAAACACUUCUGCAAUAAACUUGGUUUCUAUCCCUUGCAGCCUGGGCCGGUGUUGGCAUCACCCUGUGUUGCUCCUAAUUCCCAUGAGCACUCCGUGAGAAAUGCAGCUGUGGCCUGAGCAAGUCUUGAGGGAGCACACUGGUGUAGCACUGCCUGGAAAGCACCUUUGGUACUGGACAUGUUGGGGGACAAAACCAGUUAAAGUGAAAUUAUUACAGCACUCAGCUGAGAGGAACGGAUUGUUCUCAUAUGCCAACAUCACAUACAUAUUCACCUGAAGUGUGUCAGGAAAAAAUAUCCCCUGAAUAAGAACUGGAAUGAAUAUGAAUUGGAACAGAAUUGGAAAAAUGAGAUGUGGGAAGGCCAGAGAAGCUGCAAAAACCCUUGUAACAGCAGCUGCACUGCAUCAGACCAAGGGACUGUUUAUAACACUCCCAAAAUGAGACACCUGAGGAACAAAGAGGUGGGAGAAGGAGAGGCCUGUACACUGCUCAAGAGCACUUCUCUCAUGGAGCUUCCAACAAUUCCUGAUCUGGUACAUUUCCUCUGCUAGAUGGAGCCUGUGGGGCCUUUCUUUUCAGAGUACAUUCCCUCUUUCCCCCUUGAAUCCCUCGACUUUCUAACCAGCUUCUGGAAACUCAGGAGUUCCACACCUCUACUACAUCUUAUUUGGAACAUGACUCCUGCUAGCUUGGAUUCUUCCAGGAAGUCACAUCCUGUGCUUUGCUUUGACUUGAAGCCAAAUAGAGAAAGGGGGUGUAAAAAGAGAAGCUGAUGUAUUUCACUUGUGAAGAACUCAAUAUCUUCAGUGCUAGAAGCAGAUUUUCUUCUAAAUUAAAAGCUUUCUCUUGACAUACUUGCUUUUUUGCUAUAAAUGGGCUUCUAAUGAGCAGAAUCUUUUGUGAAGCAAAUGCUUCAUGAAUGAAGCAUUUGAAUCAAGUCUGCUUCUGGUAAGGUACCAGGUGUAUUUUUUGGAGCUGUGAUCAAGUUAAGUGCUUUUACUGAUAUGUGCACGUGACCCUUUUCUUUUUCCCCCACACUGGUAUUGCAGGCUUAGAAGUGACCUUGGCUUUGCCUGUCACACUUACUUCUUCCUUUCAAUGGAUGCUCUGUCUUUUUACAGAGAGCAGCUGUUGCUGGUGUUAGCAAUAAGGCCAAGAUGUUUUAUUCAUUUAUGAUUUUAGAGCCCUAAUAUGUGACCACAAUAGGCUCCUUCAUUGCACAUUAUUGAAAUGAAUGCCAAAAAUAAUCAGUUCUUUCAAUCAUAAAAUAGCAGCAGCAGCAUUUUGUCUGUGUUUAGGGAAAGAGACCUUGGAGGUAAUCUCUUUAUCUUACAUUUGUGGUUGAAAAUGUAGUGUGUAAUACAUUUGGACCUAAAUUUUAGUAAGGCUGGCUUAAAACCUAGAAGCAGUCCCUGAGUUUACUUCAGAAAUGAGACAGACUCCUACAUUGAAGAAAGAAACCAUGGCAAAGAAAGCAUCACAGAUUUCCUUUAGAAAAGGAAAAAAGCAGAAGCAAUACUAUAGAAGGUUCCCUAGGCAAAACAAUGUUCUUUCAAUGUAUCAUCAAGGAAAUGUAUUCUAUGGAGGCUGCAUCCAUGGGCCUGUGCUUGAAUGAAACUGUGUAUCAGCACAUAAUAUGAAUGUAGCACAUCUCUUGCAGGAAAUCAGUUUAUAACUUGUAUAUCUCAGGCCUCUACAGUAUAUUUUGACAGGAUUGCUCUUCUAGAAGAAUUUUUGUCCGCUUUGUGUUCCACCUCCACUUCUGUUUCAUUCCCUUGGUUUUCCUUCCUGUGCUCUGAUGGGACCAAAGAGGGUGUGGUAGUUUGGUCUCAGCACAGUAAUACAAAUCCAUUGCAAGCUCUCAAGCACUGUUUAUCAAUCUUAGUGAUCUCUGACAUGACAGGUAGUUUAGUUCUUUCCUUUAGAAGCAGUAGACUGCUUCAGAAAAAAAUUGACUUCCGCUUCAAAAAUUCCAUAGUUGCAAUUUAAUGCCUCCUUAAAAUCAGAUAAUAGCCAAAUUUCUAGGUUAGAAACCUUUAAUCUUCAUUCUUCAUCACUUUCUCUUGCUGUCUUCUCCCUCUGCUGAGUAUAAACACAGGGGAAGGAAGGCUCUUCUGACUGACCUCUCUCAUCCAUAUCAGCUAGCCCAGCAGUCCUGGUGCAGGCAGCUGCUGCCUUCUCCCUGUGAGCCCCCUGCACAGGCCUGGUAUCCUCAGCAGGGUGCUUCCCUAAGGUGUGCUUCUAAACACUUCAGGGGUUUGUUUAUCAAAUGGAGGUAAGGAGGAUUAGGAAAGCUGGUCAGAAGGAAUAGAGCAAAAACUAUUUCUUCAAAUGUCUGACAGACUAAAUUAGAGGAAACCAUAAACUGUAAAGGUUUCACUGUUGUGAACUAUUUCCUUGAAUAAGCUCCUGGGAGGUGGCAAAGCUGCACUUUGUCAGCACUAUCAGCCCUACACCACAAACUCUUCAGUCAUUUUCUUGACAAUAGAAGUCUGUUUUCUGUACAUGGCAGUACCCACACAGUGCCUUCCACACAGAAAUACCAAGUUCCAGUUCUGCACAGCAGUUGCUAUACAUGAAUAAGUGCCCAUUAUUUGUUUGUAUGGGCAGCCAGGACAAGUGGAAUGAGGAAUCUUCCCCCAAGAGGGCAAAAAGGGAAAAGCUUAAAUGUGCUCUUUAUUCAGGGCAUGGAAGUGUCUGUAGUUUCCACCACUGAUAACUGUUGUCAGCAGUAACUUCUGUUUGCUAGAUGCAAAAAUAGUUCUUUCACCAGCAGUGCCCAGCUGGGACUCUACUGGAGUGACCCCUGGCAAUGGCAGGCUGAUGGCUUAGAAGCAAAUAGUACAAAUUUGAAAACAAACCAAACACCCCCACCUCUCACUGCCCUGGCCAAACCCUCUUUUAGAAUGGAUAAAGGUCUGAUUAUGUCUUGGUCUGUGUUUAGUUUUAUUCCUCGAGGGAAGUUUUUGUUAUGUUACUCAACAAUGGCACGGUCACUAAUGUACCAUGUUUUAUAGAUAAGGACAUGCUUUGGUUUAAUAUUAAUGCCAGACAGGACAGUGUUCCUUGGCCACAGUGGAUCAAAAUAUCAUGGCUUCAAGGUGAGGGGGAGUUGGGGUUCUCUGGGGAGAAAGGGGCACUUCUGCUUAAGGAAGGGGGAGGAAUUCUGGGGCAUUCUGAAGAUGGUGAGGUGUCUCCUGAAGGCAGGAGGCUGGAGCUUAUGGCUGAGCUGGCAUAUCAAUGUGGAGAAUGCCUAGGCUCAAACACUUGAAAUGCUUCUUGAGAGACAAGGGGAAGGAAAUAUCUCUCUCAGUGUCAGUUCAUGUUAUUACCAUCUUAUACUGCUUUUGUAUUUGAGUAAAUGAAUAUUCAGAGUACUGGAUAGAAAGGAACUCUAUUCCUCCACUGCCUUUCAAUCCUUCAUGCCCUGCAUCCUGUUCUUAUUUUGUUGUCUAAGUCUUCAACAUGUUUAAAGUCUGAGCUUGUUACUAAACACAGAGCAGCCUGAAGAAUGAUUCCUUUCCCAGGGAAUUUGAACGUUUUAAACUUUUUUUUGUUCCAAAUCCUUCAACAGGAAUGUGGAAGCAUUGCUGUAAUACAGGAGCACUGGAGGACAGAUGCUUCAAGGCAGAUGUGGCAUUAUGUGCCUGGAAUGAUCAAUUACAAAGCCAACAUGCUCUGUGAGACUGAGCCUUGUUAGAUUCCUUUGAAAAUGCAUGAUGAAAAACACUGUAGAAAAACUCAAAAAGUUAAUAGAAAAAAAAAAAAAUAGAAAGUUUGGGGGAAAGAUUCAAAAGUUGUACAUAAGAAGCUGUCAUUUGUACUAAACAGGAGAUGAUUUGCACUAAAGACAGGGAUAACACUAUCUCAGGAAUACAACAGGAAGCAGUGGUCUCUGGUAUUUCUGUAUAACCAGAAGCAGUCAAGAAUGCAAGAAACCUAGGAAAUGCCUCUUGUCAUCUGGAAAUUCUCCAUAAAUGGAAAUAAACUAGAAAGUGACCCAGUGCUUAUAGAGCCUGUGUGAGGGGGAAGUGCUUUGUUACUCUUUGUCUCAGCAGAAUACUGUUCCACAAGAUUUUCUGCCAGACAUAGGCAUUUCCGCUUUCUAAAUAAAACCUGGGUGCACACUUGCCAUGGAUGAUGGACUCAGCAGAAAGGACAGUACUUAAAAUAGUAUGAAAACAGUGGCAGGAAAAAGAAGAAAAGGUUCUUAGGGAGGAGAUUAGGAUAUAACUAAGAAUAAGAUGAUGGCAACCUCUUUCUCACCUUCAGGGAACUUCAUAAAAGCAGCAUGUUCUGGAGGGUCUUUGUGAAUGUAAAAGGGUAAGAGUUAAAAUUCAUGGCAUCCAGCAAGCAGUGGAUCUUCCAGGAAAGGCAGAAAGAAGUGGAGGAGAGAGUGAAGAAGAGAUGGGAGGUGUUAUGGACAGGCUUACAAGGAAAACUUUAAAGUAACAAAAAAAGGAGGCCAGUUAUUGUUAACAACAUUCCCCAAAAGUUUAAUUUUUUUUUUUUUUUUGUUCAUAACAGGAGGGAUGACUCUUUGUUUAAUCAAGUGUACUGUUAGCACUCCAGUAUUAAUUGUGACUGUUGUGUGUUUACAAGCUUUGCUGGAUACAGGCAGAAGGGUGGAUUAGGAAGAAGUGCAGCUCCAGGUGCAGUUCUGUGCAAUGGAAUUCACCUGUAAAGGAACAGUCACUGCAGGAGUAACUCACAUGGGAGCUGGAGCUUUCCAUCUCAUGGGCUGCACAGCUGCUGUGCCAGGUCAGACAUUUCAGUGGGAUGGGAGAAGCAGAAGUACAGAACUUUCAUACACAAUACACUUAUUUCAUGUGAGACAAGUGCACAGCCUGUUGAUUUCAAUGUUCCAUAUCUUUUCCCACUCUUGGAGAAGAAGGCCAAUUCCAACACUCUCUCUAGAUUAGCAAAUUCUCUUCAUCUCCUUCUAAAAAGCUUUCCUGAGACCUUUCCCACCAGGAGACCCAAGAGCCCCCUGUCUCCAUGGCUCUCUCCUGGCAGCUCCAUCACUGUGAUUACUCAAGAGCACUGCACUCCACUCCUGGGCAUAGGUGUGGUGACUUCCUAGGCUUUUCCCUCUGGGCUGGUGUGUUCCCACACCCUCUUCUUUAACAGAGCAGGGUGGUAUUUAGCUUUUUGUUUCCCUUACGCCUUCUAUAUGCAUCAUAUUAUGGAAACAUUUUCAGAGAGACGGUGCAGAGAAUAUUAUGGAGCUUGUUGUUUAGGUUUUUUCCUGAUUUCUCCCUUAUUGCAUUGUUUCCUGUCAAAAUUUCUUUCUAGGGGGAAAGUACUCUUUAAAAAUAUCUUUUAAAAAUAUCUAAGUCUUUGGGGGUGUUACUGAGCAGCAUCUGGAUCUAUUUGUUUGGUAAUCUGCUGAAGUGCUUUGUGAAGCAAAAACUGAGUCACGUAUGAUUUAUAAUGACCAGCUUUGUCAGACUGAAUAAAUAUGAAUCCUUGGG
Non-coding RNA from Taeniopygia guttata (zebra finch), 5504 nucleotides. The record is from RefSeq and is a predicted model, not a curated record. Lineage: Eukaryota; Metazoa; Chordata; Aves; Passeriformes; Estrildidae.